AUUGAACGCUGGCGGCAUGCUUUACACAUGCAAGUCGAACGGUAACAGGCCGCAAGGUGCUGACGAGUGGCGAACGGGUGAGUAAUGCAUCGGAACGUGCCCAGUCGUGGGGGAUAACUACUCGAAAGAGUAGCUAAUACCGCAUACGAUCUAUGGAUGAAAGCGGGGGACCGUAAGGCCUCGCGCGAUUGGAGCGGCCGAUGUCAGAUUAGGUAGUUGGUGGGGUAAAGGCUCACCAAGCCAACGAUCUGUAGCUGGUCUGAGAGGACGACCAGCCACACUGGGACUGAGACACGGCCCAGACUCCUACGGGAGGCAGCAGUGGGGAAUUUUGGACAAUGGGCGCAAGCCUGUUCCAGCAAUGCCGCGUGCAGGAAGAAGGCCUUCGGGUUGUAAACUGCUUUUGUACGGAACGAAACGGCUCUGGUUAAGACCCGGGGCUAAUGACGGUACCGUAAGAAUAAGCACCGGCUAACUACGU
This 481-nucleotide ribosomal RNA is filed under the name uncultured bacterium. Its description in RNAcentral is "partial 16S ribosomal RNA". It matches the Rfam family "Bacterial small subunit ribosomal RNA", at positions 30 to 506 of the family's 1533-position model. The record is from RNAcentral.